GCAGGAGCCAUUGGUAGAGAUGAUACGAGAACAAAGGCCCUCGAGAUCUAAUCACUCUCGAAUGCCAAGCUUCUGGCUGCUAGUGCUCUGCUGGAGUCCUUGUCCUUAUCCUCCGGAGCAAAUCAUCUAGUGGUCAAAUUGUCCCUAUUUCCCCCAUCCCCCUCACAAAAGACGUAAAAUCACAAAGAAUCUACCACCAGCACUGCCGCCACCAAGCAACCGGAAUGCCGAGGAGUCUGGAUGACCCAUCCACAGACUUUAGAAUUGCCUCAGCUUGGCCUAAGUGUGUCCUGCCCAGGAAACUCCACACCAGUAGGAUUAUGCCCUAUUGCGUGUUGCUGCAUCCCAGGAUGGAGCCUACGGAGCACGACGACUGUCACAGAGCAGGCGCUCCAUAAAUAUCUGUGGAAUGAAGGAAGCAAGAUGGGAUCCCACCGGCCCCAAGGCUUUGUUGAAUGGAACCGUGAGUGAGAAUGUAAACUCUCGAGCCCAAGGCUUUCCACGGAAUUCCCUUUGGACUGGUUCAUUCUUUUUGCUCAACAUGAGAAAACAGCAGGAGUUAUUGGUUGGACUGCGUGAUGAGCCAGAUUGUCUGGGGGCAAGGC
This 605-nucleotide long non-coding RNA is filed under the name Equus caballus (horse). Its description in RNAcentral is "lncRNA (ENSECAG00000046873.1)". Lineage: Eukaryota; Metazoa; Chordata; Mammalia; Perissodactyla; Equidae. The record is from RNAcentral.